Molecule: long non-coding RNA, 470 nt
Filed under: Bos mutus (wild yak)
Lineage: Eukaryota; Metazoa; Chordata; Mammalia; Artiodactyla; Bovidae
Description: lncRNA (ENSBMUG00000010960.1)
Source: RNAcentral
AAAUUUUUUAAUACAUCAUUUUUUUUAUUUUACAGAAAUAAAACUUGAGAUGAAGCCUCCUGAUAUUCCUGACUCCAGAGUUCCAAUUCCAACCAUGCCAAUCAGAGCAAUACCACCAGAAGAAAUUCCUCCUACGGCUGUUCCUCCCAUCCCUCUUUUGCUACCAUUACCUGAAGAAAAGAAACCACCAGAAAAACGUGUUGAAGGUAUUAUAUGUUAGCUACCUAAAUGCCAGAAUAUAGGAUUUAAUUAUUGAAUAUACAGACCUGGAAAAUGUUGUUUAGUGCAACUUGUUGGCCCUCUAGUGGUCAGCAGUUUGGAUUGCCUUUCAAAAUGUAAGUUACAUAAUUUUAGUAUUAAUUAAAUGUGUUAGACAUGUGCCUAAAAGUCUGAAAAUAAUUAGAAAAAAUAUUUUUUAAAAAUCACUUAAGCAUUAAGUAUUCUUGCCAGUAUUCUUGCCUGGAGAAUCC